Molecule: ribosomal RNA, 430 nt
Filed under: Fusobacteriota bacterium
Lineage: Bacteria; Fusobacteriati; Fusobacteriota
Description: Fusobacteria bacterium partial 16S ribosomal RNA
Rfam family: Bacterial small subunit ribosomal RNA
Source: RNAcentral
UAGGGAAUCUUCGGCAAUGGACGAAAGUCUGACCGAGCAACGCCGCGUGAGUGAAGAAGGUUUUCGGAUCGUAAAACUCUGUUGUUAGAGAAGAACAAGGAUGAGAGUAGAAUGUUCAUCCCUUGACGGUAUCUAACCAGAAAGCCACGGCUAACUACGUGCCAGCAGCCGCGGUAAUACGUAGGUGGCAAGCGUUGUCCGGAUUUAUUGGGCGUAAAGCGAGCGCAGGCGGUUUCUUAAGUCUGAUGUGAAAGCCCCCGGCUCAACCGGGGAGGGUCAUUGGAACCUGGGAAACUUGAGUGCAGAAGAGGAGAGUGGAAUUCCAUGUGUAGCGGUGAAAUGCGUAGAUAUAUGGAGAAACACCAGUGGCGAAGGCGGCUCUCUGGUCUGUAACUGACGCUGAGGCUCGAAAGCGUGGGGAGCAAACAGG